CUUAACUAUAGCGUGUUAUUGAAUCAGUGUUUACACUGUUUAGUAUAGGUGGGAGCCUUUGAAGUUGUCGCGCUAGCGACAAUGGAGGCAACAGUGAAAUACCACCCUGUGUGUAUGUUGAUUCUAACUUGAUUCUAACCUGAUCAAGGACAGUGGCUCGUGGGUAGUUUAACUGGGGCGGUUGCCUCCUAAAUGGUAACGGAGGCGUUUAUUAAGGUAGGCUAGGCGCGGAUGGAAAUCGCGCUGGUAGUGCAAACGCAUAAGCCUGCUUGACUGCAAGAGUGGCGACUCGCGCAGGUGGGAAACCAGAAGUUAGUGAUCCGAUGCGUUCGAGUGGAAGACGCAAAGCCCAACGGAUAAAAGUUA
This 366-nucleotide ribosomal RNA is filed under the name uncultured organism. RNAcentral describes it as "bacterial LSU rRNA". It matches the Rfam family "Bacterial large subunit ribosomal RNA", at positions 2099 to 2465 of the family's 2925-position model. The record is from RNAcentral.